GUCGAACGGUAACAGGUUAAGCUGACGAGUGGCGAAUGGGUGAGUAAUAUAUCGGAACGUGCCCAGUCGUGGGGGAUAACUGCUCGAAAGAGCAGCUAAUACCGCAUACGACCUGAGGGUGAAAGCGGGGGAUCGCAAGACCUCGCGCGAUUGGAGCGGCCGAUAUCAGAUUAGGUAGUUGGUGGGGUAAAGGCCCACCAAGCCAACGAUCUGUAGCUGGUCUGAGAGGACGACCAGCCACACUGGGACUGAGACACGGCCCAGACUCCUACGGGAGGCAGCAGUGGGGAAUUUUGGACAAUGGGCGCAAGCCUGAUCCAGCCAUGCCGCGUGCGGGAAGAAGGCCUUCGGGUUGUAAACCGCUUUUGUCAGGGAAGAAAAGGUUCUGGUUAAUACCUGGGACUCAUGACGGUACCUGAAGAAUAAGCACCGGCUAACUACGUGCCAGCAGCCGCGGUAAUACGUAGGGUGCAAGCGUUAAUCGGAAUUACUGGGCGUAAAGCGUGCGCAGGCGGUUAUGCAAGACAGAGGUGAAGUCCCCGGGCUCAACCUGGGAACUGCCUUUGUGACUGCAUGGCUAGAGUACGGUA
Molecule: ribosomal RNA, 590 nt
Filed under: uncultured Roseateles sp.
Lineage: Bacteria; Pseudomonadati; Pseudomonadota; Betaproteobacteria; Burkholderiales; Sphaerotilaceae
Description: bacterial SSU rRNA
Rfam family: Bacterial small subunit ribosomal RNA
Source: RNAcentral